RNAcentral lists this transfer RNA (67 nucleotides) under Thanatophilus sinuatus. Its description in RNAcentral is "tRNA-Cys". The record is from RNAcentral. Lineage: Eukaryota; Metazoa; Arthropoda; Insecta; Coleoptera; Silphidae.
AGUCUUAUAGUCAAAGUUAAAAUGAUGUCAAAUUGCAAAUUUGAAGGAGGGUUUAGCCCUAAGGCUU